This 1377-nucleotide ribosomal RNA is filed under the name Limosilactobacillus fermentum. Its description in RNAcentral is "bacterial SSU rRNA". It matches the Rfam family "Bacterial small subunit ribosomal RNA", at positions 38 to 1400 of the family's 1533-position model. The record is from RNAcentral. Lineage: Bacteria; Bacillati; Bacillota; Bacilli; Lactobacillales; Lactobacillaceae.
CGCGUUGGCCCAAUUGAUUGAUGGUGCUUGCACCUGCAUUGAUUUUGGUCGCCAACGAGUGGCGGACGGGUGAGUAACACGUAGGUAACCUGCCCAGAAGCGGGGGACAACAUUUGGAAACAGAUGCUAAUACCGCAUAACAGCGUUGUUCGCAUGAACAACGCUUAAAAGAUGGCUUCUCGCUAUCACUUCUGGAUGGACCUGCGGUGCAUUAGCUUGUUGGUGGGGUAACGGCCUACCAAGGCGAUGAUGCAUAGCCGAGUUGAGAGACUGAUCGGCCACAAUGGGACUGAGACACGGCCCAUACUCCUACGGGAGGCAGCAGUAGGGAAUCUUCCACAAUGGGCGCAAGCCUGAUGGAGCAACACCGCGUGAGUGAAGAAGGGUUUCGGCUCGUAAAGCUCUGUUGUUAAAGAAGAACACGUAUGAGAGUAACUGUUCAUACGUUGACGGUAUUUAACCAGAAAGUCACGGCUAACUACGUGCCAGCAGCCGCGGUAAUACGUAGGUGGCAAGCGUUAUCCGGAUUUAUUGGGCGUAAAGAGAGUGCAGGCGGUUUUCUAAGUCUGAUGUGAAAGCCUUCGGCUUAACCGGAGAAGUGCAUCGGAAACUGGAUAACUUGAGUGCAGAAGAGGGUAGUGGAACUCCAUGUGUAGCGGUGGAAUGCGUAGAUAUAUGGAAGAACACCAGUGGCGAAGGCGGCUACCUGGUCUGCAACUGACGCUGAGACUCGAAAGCAUGGGUAGCGAACAGGAUUAGAUACCCUGGUAGUCCAUGCCGUAAACGAUGAGUGCUAGGUGUUGGAGGGUUUCCGCCCUUCAGUGCCGGAGCUAACGCAUUAAGCACUCCGCCUGGGGAGUACGACCGCAAGGUUGAAACUCAAAGGAAUUGACGGGGGCCCGCACAAGCGGUGGAGCAUGUGGUUUAAUUCGAAGCUACGCGAAGAACCUUACCAGGUCUUGACAUCUUGCGCCAACCCUAGAGAUAGGGCGUUUCCUUCGGGAACGCAAUGACAGGUGGUGCAUGGUCGUCGUCAGCUCGUGUCGUGAGAUGUUGGGUUAAGUCCCGCAACGAGCGCAACCCUUGUUACUAGUUGCCAGCAUUAAGUUGGGCACUCUAGUGAGACUGCCGGUGACAAACCGGAGGAAGGUGGGGACGACGUCAGAUCAUCAUGCCCCUUAUGACCUGGGCUACACACGUGCUACAAUGGACGGUACAACGAGUCGCGAACUCGCGAGGGCAAGCAAAUCUCUUAAAACCGUUCUCAGUUCGGACUGCAGGCUGCAACUCGCCUGCACGAAGUCGGAAUCGCUAGUAAUCGCGGAUCAGCAUGCCGCGGUGAAUACGUUCCCGGGCCUUGUACACACCGCCCGUCAC